Molecule: long non-coding RNA, 228 nt
Filed under: Sus scrofa (pig)
Lineage: Eukaryota; Metazoa; Chordata; Mammalia; Artiodactyla; Suidae
Description: lncRNA (ENSSSCG00055002085.1)
Source: RNAcentral
AUGGCGUGUGCGGUGGACGACCGUGUCAUAGUCGCAGCCAGUGGAUGCGUUGACCACAGCGCAGCCAGGACGGACAACUGCGAAUCACCCGAUAUUGAAGGACCGCGUGCAGCGUGCAGCGCGACCAGAGCCGACAGACUGAAACCCAGUCUCUUGGAAAACAGAGCUAAGCAAAAGCUAUGGUCGUGUCUUCAUGGUGUCCUGAACUCAGAGGAGGACGUGAAAUGA